UUAAUAUAUAAUUUUUAAUAUAAUAUUAAUUUUUAUAAAUAUAUUUUAUUAUAAUCUAAAAAAUUUAAACGGUACAAUUUAAAAAAAAUAUGAAAAAAUAUAAAUAAAAAUCUCCCUAUUAUACAACUUAAAAGGAAGUGUAAAGUGUUAUAUCUUUCCUUCUCCACAUAUACACGUGCUAUUUAUAGGCCCUAAUUCAUAUAGAACGAUGAAUCGGGUUCCAUGUUAUAAGCGUUCAUAAAAAAACUUAGCUUAGGCCACUUUAGAAUUAAAUUUGACAAAAAAACUUAUUAGGAAAAAGAGAAAGAGGAGGCUAAUCUGGUAAUUUGGUUCUGCACCUCCCCUCGCGAUGAGCUUCCAGCCCACUUGGCGGGAAACUUUGUCUCACAUUUUCCUUUUCUUAAUUUUCUUCUGUGAUACCCAUCUACACCUAUCAAUAUUAGGGUUUUGAUUCCACAUUUGCCGCUAGCAAACGCCGUUUUACCCGUCGAUUCUCCGAAACUGUGAAUGGUGCUCAGUGUUGAAAGAAAAUGGGUAAAGAGGAUAAUAAUAGUCCACAAUUUACAAGAAUGACAACUCGAACUCGAUCCUCUUCUUCAGCUCCUGCUACUACGGGCAAUGACAUUGGAAGAACUAAAAUAAGUGAAUCCUACACUCCUACUCUCAAUGAUCUUGUAUUUAGAGGUGAACGGAUUAAUUUUGGUGAUCUUCUAUCUAGUUUUCCUGCUAGAAAGGUUCAGAUUUCUGAAUUGUUGCGUCUUUUGGGUCCCUUGAAUUCUCCUAUGCUUCCAUUGUUUCUCUAUGGAGCUUCUUCUACUGGAAAAACUAGUAUUGUUCUCCAGAUCUUUAGGCAUCUUAAUCGCCCUUUUGUUUAUGUAAGCUGCCGGACUUGUUAUAGUCCUCGUAUUUUGUUUGAAUCCAUUUUAAAUCAGUUGCUGUUUCAUAGUAAGAAUUCAGCCAAUGGUUAUUCUAGUUCUAAACGCUGUGAAAAGCCAUCUGAUUUUGUUAAUUUUCUUCAUGAUGCUUUGGGUAGUAUCAUUGAUGAGCUCAAGGGGAAUUCUGGGAAACUUCCCUAUGGAAAUAUGCUUUAUUUGAUAUUUGACAAUUUGGAGCUUGUUCGCACUUGGGAUAAGAGUUCCACUAUGUUACCUUUCUUGUUUUGUCUUUAUGAUCUUCUGAAGAUGCCUGAAGUGGGUCUUAUAUAUAUUAGCAAUACAUCUCCUGAUACUUUUUAUUCCAAUUUGGGAUUCAUAGAACCUAUUCCUGUUUAUUUCCCCGAAUACACGGAAGAAGAUAUUCGCCAAAUUUUCUUGAGAAACCAAGAAAAUCGAAAGCUCUACUCCUGCUUUCUUGAUGUUGUACUCAAGCCAUUUUGCAGAACUACCAGACGCAUGGAUGAAUUGUCUACUGGUUUUACAUCAUUAUUUAGAAAAUAUUGUGAACCCUUACGUGAUUUGGAACAUGUACCUAAUGAAGAAAUGAAGAGAAGAUUGUUCAGUCGCUUUCAGCCACACAUUGCCUCUUCUUUGAAUGAAGUAUUCUCGGUUCCCUCUCAGACUUCCGUUGAAGUUGAAUCCAAUAAGGAGGAAAAACACAAAUGCAGGAAAAGAAAUCCAGAAGGUGAGGCAGAUUUUGCUGAGGUAGAUUUCCAUAUGUCUACUUCUGCAAAGUAUCUUCUUAUUUCAGCAUUUCUUGCUUCGAGAAACCCAGCUACACUUGAUGCAUCCCUAUUUGAUUCAACUGGGGGUUCAGAUAAUUGCAAACGUAAGAGAAAGGCUUCUGAAAAGUCAAUGGAGCAGAAGGAAGCUGCAGAACAGGAGUUACUUAUGAAAGGUCCUGGAACUUUCCCAUUGGAGAGGUUAUUAGCUAUAUAUCAAUGUAUAUCAUCUGCAGCAGAUGAUUUGCUUGAUGAAGAAGAACAUGGAAAUGAUGUACUGAGAGUUCAGGGUGGGGAUAGUGGACUGGUCUCUGAUGUUUUAAUGCAACUAGCAAGUCUUUGUAACGCUAAUUUUAUCAUUAAAGGAGGAAGCUGCCCUUUGGAAGGUUCAACUCGGUAUCGGUCUACAGUUUCUGAAGACUUGGCUCUGAAGGUAGCAAGGAGCCUGAGGUUUCCUCUGCCAAAUUACAUGUACAGAAGAUGAUGUUGGUGAUGUGAUCUGUCCUAAGAAGUUUGAGAGGUGAUGUGAUUUUCUGGCCUACACUUUCAUUCAGCCCCUAUUUUGAUGUAAUUUUUGUAUUAUUCAGUUCAUCAAACAUGACAUAUGUAGUCCAUGAAAUCGGCGUAGUCCAUGAAAUCAGCGGUCGGAAGAGUCUAGUUUAGAAAAGCUAAUUAUCUGACCUGAACAAGACCUGAACAAGUUUAUGUGGAGUCUGAUGACAUACUCUCAAUCUUUGUUUUUAGUGAUGUCCCUGUGAGUCAUUUUCUACAUUAUUUUUGGGGGAGGCAAGAGUCCGGAAAAGGAAGGGGAGGGUUACAUGACUAUAUCUAACCAUCUCGUGACCCCUCUUAGCUCACUGCAUCUCUAAAUUUACUCGAAAAUCAAUUACCAUUGGUAUUCAGUUUGUAUAGUUAAAUCUCCAAGUAAUUUCUACUUCUUCACCAGCUUGCAAAUUAUCAUCCACACAUUUAUGUAAUAUGGUUGUCGACAAUUUUAUUGAUCUCAAAGCCUUUUGGUUAGAAAGAUUAGACAUCCAAGCAACUGAAUAAAUUCAUAGGAAACAAAAGAAAUAUAGAAAGAAAGAAAGAAAAGAAAAAGGCGAAUUAAUUGGUUCUCUUAGAUGACUAAGGAAGGAAUGAAUUAUUUUGGAGCUGACAGCAACAUCUCAAAAUUCUUUUGAAGGUACACUGUCUGAAUCAUAAUAACCACACCAAAACUAGACUAAGCCUUAUUUUUGGAGAAAGGAAUUUAUUAUUAUUUUUAGACUAGUGAAGUACUAAUCCUCAAUCUUUUCUGAGAAUGAAAAUAGAGGGUUCUGUUUGUAUUAAUAGAGAUAACGAGUUUUUGACCAUCCUUAUCGUGUUAACAUCUUAAACUGAUGCAAAAACCUAAAACCCUUGUCGUAUGUUUCCUUAAAAAGCUUUUCUCAUGCUACAGUUUUCUUUAAUAUUUUCUAUUAAUAUGCUGAUUGAUUCUAUUUAACUCCCACACAGUAUCCUAUCAACCUUCCACCUCUCCACAGUAUAUUUAUCAGAAAGGAGAAGGCUUGGCCUUUUUAUUUUGUUCUUUAAAUAGUUUUCCAAAUAGACAAGGAUAUUGAGAAUAGACCUUUCAACACGAAGUUAUUGCAUUUUGAGUAAUUGAGAGUCAGUGGUUUCAUAUACUCCCAACUGCUUUUGUUUCUUUUGGUUGAUUCUUAAGAUGGUGAAAACAUGGUUCUGAACUUUGUGCAUCGUCUGAAGAGUAGAAAAUGUCAACCCCGGAUUAUCGAAUUCCAAUAUCUCAUAUUUAUUGAGACCCAAGUCAACUUCAUGAUCCUCUUACACACUAACCUAUAUACGGUUGACUUCCACAUCUUAAAAUGUCCCCCUUCCUGUUUUCCAUAG
This is an RNA transcript of Ricinus communis (castor bean), 3544 nucleotides long. It is a transcript of the gene named origin of replication complex subunit 5, with no coding region annotated. The transcript has 6 exons. The record is from RefSeq and is a predicted model, not a curated record. Lineage: Eukaryota; Viridiplantae; Streptophyta; Magnoliopsida; Malpighiales; Euphorbiaceae.